AUGAGAGGAAAGUCCGGGCUCCAAGAGACACAGCGCCGGGUAACACCCGGCAAAGGCGACUUUAGGGAUAGUGCCACAGAAAAUAGACCGCCUGAGAAGGUAAGGGUGAAAAGGUGCGGUAAGAGCGCACCGCAUAUAUGGUAACAUAAUAUGGCAGGGUAAACCCCGCUGGGAGCAAGACCAAAUAGGAAUAGCGAAGGUGAAAACCAAGAAUUGUCUCAGUUUUAGUUAUUCGGGUAGGUUGCUAGAGAUGUAUGGAAACAUAUAUCCAAGAUGAAUGAUCAUCACCACUAAGUGGAUACAGAACCCGGCUUACAGACCAUCUGGCUUU
This 331-nucleotide RNase P RNA is filed under the name Rhodobiaceae bacterium. Its description in RNAcentral is "partial RNase P RNA component class A". It matches the Rfam family "Bacterial RNase P class A", at positions 39 to 367 of the family's 367-position model. Rfam says of the family: Ribonuclease P (RNase P) is a ubiquitous endoribonuclease, found in archaea, bacteria and eukarya as well as chloroplasts and mitochondria. Its best characterised activity is the generation of mature 5'-ends of tRNAs by cleaving the 5'-leader elements of precursor-tRNAs. Cellular RNase Ps are ribonucleoproteins. Lineage: Bacteria; Pseudomonadati; Pseudomonadota; Alphaproteobacteria; Hyphomicrobiales; Rhodobiaceae. The record is from RNAcentral.